CGAAGGUCUACUCUUGCUUAGUUUCUGCAUUGCUGAUCUCAGGCACUAACUACCUGCCGUGGUCCCCUGGAACCCCAGCAGAUUCCUCUUCCUGUCAUCGGCUGCCCGGGCAUGAAAUCCAGCCUAUCUCCACUCUACCUGCUUAGGCUCUAGAGCUGCAUUCUUCUCCGUUCAAGGUCUACACUUGCUUUGUUCCUGCAUUCCUGGUGUCAGGCACUCUGCCUGCUGUGGCCCCUGGCACCUCAACAAAUGUUCAUCCUUCUUCCACUGCUGCUGGGCUUGUUAGUCAGCACCUCUCCAAUCCAAUCCAUCUACUUAGCCUCCAGUCUGCAUUCUUCUCUGGUCAAAAUCUGAAAUGAGUUAAUUUUCCUUCAAAUGAACAAAUUGCUCUUAGGAAACAAAGGAAGGCUGGGAUCAGAUCUUCUACUUCACUAGGUAGAACUAAAUUGCAAAUGGCAUUAAAGUUUAUAUCUAGUUAAUCACGGGAAAAAGAACAGGAGGCAAAUGUGGAGUAAAUAAAGGAAACAGCAAGUCCAAGCAAUCUUAAGUCUAAAAGGAA
Long non-coding RNA from Sorex fumeus (smoky shrew), 559 nucleotides. RefSeq lists it as uncharacterized. NCBI's taxonomy places the organism in Eukaryota, Metazoa, Chordata, Mammalia, Eulipotyphla, Soricidae. The record is from RefSeq and is a predicted model, not a curated record. The transcript is spliced from 7 exons.